UCCUGGCUCAGGACGAACGCUGGCGGCGUGCCUAUACAUGCAAGUCGAGCGAACAGAUGAGGAGCUUGCUCCUCUGACGUUAGCGGCGGAUGGGUGAGUAACACGUGGGCAACCUGCCCUGUAGUUGGGGAUAACUCCGGGAAACCGGGGCUAAUACCGAAUAAUUAGUUUCUUCGCAUGAGGAAACUCUGAAAGACGGCUUCGGCUGUCACUACGGGAUGGGCCCGCGGCGCAUUAGCUAGUUGGUGGGGUAAUGGCCUACCAAGGCGACGAUGCGUAGCCGACCUGAGAGGGUGAUCGGCCACACUGGGACUGAGACACGGCCCAGACUCCUACGGGAGGCAGCAGUAGGGAAUCUCCCACAAUGGACGAAAGUCUGAUGGAGCAACGCCGCGUGAGCGAAGAAGGUUUUCGGAUCGUAAAGCUCUGUUGUGAGGGAAGAACAAGUACAGGAGUAACUGUCUGUACCUUGACGGUACCUCACUAGAAAGCCACGGCUAACUACGUG
This 508-nucleotide ribosomal RNA is filed under the name uncultured Caryophanales bacterium. RNAcentral's name for it is "bacterial SSU rRNA". It matches the Rfam family "Bacterial small subunit ribosomal RNA", at positions 17 to 507 of the family's 1533-position model. Lineage: Bacteria; Bacillati; Bacillota; Bacilli; Caryophanales. The record is from RNAcentral.